RNAcentral lists this long non-coding RNA (358 nucleotides) under Nicotiana benthamiana. RNAcentral's name for it is "long non-coding RNA (NBEN_LNC010889)". The record is from RNAcentral. Lineage: Eukaryota; Viridiplantae; Streptophyta; Magnoliopsida; Solanales; Solanaceae.
GGAGACUGUAUUUCAAAUAGGUGAUAUACCAGUUGCAAAAAAAUAGGAUAUAAUAGCAAUUUAAUAGUGCACAAAGAGAGAGCAAAGUGUGCAAAGGAUCGGGGCAGAAAUAUGGGAAUAGCAGCAGCAGGAAAAACAAUAGCAAAAAUAUGAGAAUAGCUGCAGUAAUGUGAGAACAGUAAUAAUAAUUAUAGAACAUCAGCAGUAACAGAUCCAAAUAGAACCUAACAGUGCAAAGUAACCAAUCAAGUUACUCAAUCUUGACUGUUAGCCGAUUGAGUGUUCAAAGAAAGGAAUAAAAGAGUAUAGCAAUAGCAGAGAAAAGGAGAGUUCAAAGAGUUUUGGUUGUGAGCAUUGU